GAUGAAGAACGCAGCAAAAUGCGAUAAGUAAUGUGAAUUGCAGAAUUCAGUGAAUCAUCGAAUCUUUGAACGCACAUUGCGCCCGCUGGUAUUCCGGCGGGCAUGCCUGUUCGAGCGUCAUUUCAACCCUCAAGCCCCCGGGUUUGGUGUUGGGGAUCGGCUCUGCCCUUCUGGGCGGUGCCGCCCCCGAAAUACAUUGGCGGUCUCGCUGCAGCCUCCAUUGCGUAGUAGCUAACACCUCGCAACUGGAACGCGGCGCGGCCAUGCCGUACAACCCCAACUUCUGAAUGUUGACCUCGGAUCAGGUAGGAAUACCCGCUGAACUUAAGCAUAUCAAUAAGCGGAGGA
RNAcentral lists this unclassified non-coding RNA (348 nucleotides) under soil metagenome. RNAcentral's name for it is "partial contains 5.8S ribosomal RNA, internal transcribed spacer 2, and large subunit ribosomal RNA". The stretch from base 1 to 120 matches the Rfam family "5.8S ribosomal RNA", at positions 35 to 154 of the family's 154-position model. The record is from RNAcentral.